RNAcentral lists this ribosomal RNA (497 nucleotides) under uncultured bacterium. Its description in RNAcentral is "partial 16S ribosomal RNA". It matches the Rfam family "Bacterial small subunit ribosomal RNA", at positions 28 to 507 of the family's 1533-position model. The record is from RNAcentral.
GAUGAACGCUGGCGGCGUGCCUAAUACAUGCAAGUCGAGCGAACAGACGAGGAGCUUGCUCCUCUGACGUUAGCGGCGGACGGGUGAGUAACACGUGGAUAACCUACCUAUAAGACUGGGAUAACUUCGGGAAACCGGAUCUAAUACCGGAUAAUAUAUUGAACCGCAUUGUUCAAUAGUGAAAGACGGUUGUGCUGUCACUUAUAGAGGGAUCCGCGCCGCAUUAGGUAGUUGGUAAGGUCACGGCUUACCAAGGCAACGAUGCGUAAGCGACCUGAGAGGGGGAUCGGCCACAUGGGAACUGAGACACGGUCCAGACUCCUACGGGAGGCAGCAGUCGCGAAUCUUCCGCAAUGGGCGAAAGCCUGACGGAGUAACGCCGAGUGAGUGAUGAAGGUCUUCCGAUCGUAAAGAUCUGUUAUUAGGGAAGAACAAAUGUGUAAGUAACUAUGCACGUAUUGACGGUACCUAAUCAGAAAGCCACGGCUAACUACGUG